Notolabrus celidotus (New Zealand spotty) is the source of this 613-nucleotide long non-coding RNA. RefSeq lists it as uncharacterized. The transcript is spliced from 3 exons. The record is from RefSeq and is a predicted model, not a curated record. Lineage: Eukaryota; Metazoa; Chordata; Actinopteri; Labriformes; Labridae.
UUUAGUUCCUCUGUUUCCCUUGUCCUGGGUUGGAUCUUUUGUCAUCAGCAUUAUCAUCAUCAUCUUCAUCAUCCUCAUCAUCCUCAUCAUCAAGGUUUUCAAAGUCAGACUCCACCAUGGCCAUUGGCACGGGUCCUCGUCCUCAUCCUUGGUGAUGUCCGCCGGGCCUUCCCCAGGCUCUUCAGGGUCCUUGGACUUCCUGCCAAGAAUCUGCAGAACCGAUCGAACCAUAAAAGCUUUGAACCAGUUGAUGCCACGAGUGAUCCUGCCGAUAGCAAUCUGGAGGUUGUUCAUCUCGCCAUCAUCAUCCCCUACUGAGAGGUUGUCUCCACUGAAAGAGCUGAGCAGCAAGGCCAGGAAGAGGUUCAACACCUGAGGAACAAAGUGAAGAAGGUGAUGAGGAGACAUGUAAAUACUUGAACACAAAUGUCAUGCUUUGAUGGGAAGAAAAAGUCAAGUUAGUAAAUAAAAAAACUGAAUAAGUCUUUAUUGUAGAAGUGAAAUGACGAUUGGCUGAAUCUGCACAAUUAAAAACCAAAGUCUAGACUCAAGCACACAUCAUAUACAAAAUUGGUCCUAUGAUGUCUCAUUAAUAAACAUUAUGUCGUCUGCC